RNAcentral lists this ribosomal RNA (406 nucleotides) under Filobacillus milosensis. Its description in RNAcentral is "Bacterial small subunit ribosomal RNA". It matches the Rfam family "Bacterial small subunit ribosomal RNA", at positions 1 to 382 of the family's 1533-position model. Lineage: Bacteria; Bacillati; Bacillota; Bacilli; Caryophanales; Bacillaceae. The record is from Rfam by way of RNAcentral.
UUUAUGGAGAGUUUGAUCCUGGCUCAGGACGAACGCUGGCGGCGUGCCUAAUACAUGCAAGUCGAGCGCGGGAAGCAGACUGAAUCCUUCGGGAGGACGUCUGUGGAACGAGCGGCGGACGGGUGAGUAACACGUGGGCAACCUGCCUGUAAGACUGGGAUAACUCCGGGAAACCGGGGCUAAUACCGGAUAACACAUCGGUUCGCAUGAACCGAUGAUGAAAGAUGGCUUCUUGCUAUCACUUACAGAUGGGCCCGCGGCGCAUUAGCUAGUUGGUGGGGUAACGGCCUACCAAGGCAACGAUGCGUAGCCGACCUGAGAGGGUGAUCGGCCACACUGGGACUGAGACACGGCCCAGACUCCUACGGGAGGCAGCAGUAGGGAAUCAUCCGCAAUGGACGAAAGU